Long non-coding RNA from Prinia subflava (tawny-flanked prinia), 5709 nucleotides. RefSeq lists it as uncharacterized. The record is from RefSeq and is a predicted model, not a curated record. NCBI's taxonomy places the organism in Eukaryota, Metazoa, Chordata, Aves, Passeriformes, Cisticolidae. The transcript has 6 exons.
CACCAGGAGGUCAUGGGCUGGGAAACUCUCAAUGCCUUCUUUGCUUAUUAUACCAAUUCAUAGAAAAGCAGAUCUUUCCCUGCAUGGAAUAAUUAAUUAUGUGGCUGAGUACAACUGAUACUAUUCUCAAAGAUGAACUUUUUUGUCUCCAAACUUCUUGAUACACAUGGAUUAAAUGCUAUUCACAGAGCAUCCAGAGCUUUGCUUUGAAGACAACAGGAAGGAGCAUAAGUGCUCACACAGCAUGCUGGCAAGUGUAUUUACAGAACCCUCAUCCUGAGAUGUGAUCAUUGCUUCUCUUAGGCCUGGAAAACAAAUCUCGCCUCCACUCUGCAGUCCAACCCACAGCUACAGCAGUGUUGGACCUUUUGCUGCCGAGAUGGGGUAGCAAGAUACUGGAAAAUUUGACAAAAUGAAAACAGUGUAUGUUCUUGUUACUGGUGUCUUUUAGGUUAGAAAAUUUGAUAGUCAUGGCUUGUUUCUUGGCUGUGGCCUUGAAUAUAGCUUAUACAGCUAUGGCCAGAAAAAAUGAAGCUCAUGGAUAUUCCUGCUACCCUCCAAGAGGAAAAUUCAUUCAGAUAUGAUGACCAUGCCAGUGCAGGGCUCCUGUGUUUGGUUAUUCAGAGGUGUCUCUGCAUGGCACAGAGUUUUGCUGUGCAGCCCUAGCCUCACUGCUACAUACACCUUAUUACUUAUUGAGAAUAAACUGCAUCAAAGCAACAGUGGGAGGAUUUUAGUAAUGUUAUUUACAUUUAUUUAACACCAUUUACCUGUGAAUUUCAAAUAGCCUUAUGCUCAAGAAUUAAUUUAGCCUCAAAGACAAGAAUUAAGUCAAGUAUUGACCUUCCUAUUUGAUAGGCAAGGAGGUCUGAGAUUCCUUCUUGUAUGCUCAGUUUUUCAAAAGUAUUUAUCUUGUACCUUCUUGUUGAAUUAACAUGAAUCAUAGGACACCGAAAAGAAGUAUCUGAGGCAAUGUAGACUCUACACACCUGCUACAUGUGUUCCUUUGGUUAUAGGGCUCUUCCUCCCUGCCAUAUACCAGACAAAACCAGUACAUGCCAGGCAAACCCUUUUGUCCUUGGCAAAUGGUUUUGCACCAGCUUGGGAGUUCAUACCAAACUUCCAUUUCCUGCAGUCACAGGUCAAAUCUCUGCUUUCAAUAGCAAUACUUAGCCAUGAUUCAUAUUUUAAAAACCCAUCAAAAUCAAAGAACAGGAUCCAAAUGAACUUUAGAGUCAGAACCCAAACAAAACUCCAAAAUGGGACCAAGCCAGUUGCAGGAUUUCUGAGCUUUGGUGAGAAAGGAAAUAGAAAUUGCAUUGCUGCAGACAAGCACUAAGAGCCCAAGGUUCACCCACCCAAGGGGCAUCAAAACCUUUUGCAGCAUGUGAGCAACAGAGACUCUCCCUCUGUCUGGGCUUGAUGGGUUGCAGAGGAAAGUUUCCAUGGGACGAGCAACAGAGGGGCUGGUGCAGCUCAGCUCUGGGCAAGAGGACUUUUUCUUCAAGAGAGUGUACAUGACAGUGCCACUCACCCCUUGUCCUCUGAAUUCCCUGACACUUUCUUCAUCACUUUUGCCCCUCUGUUCAGUAAAAUGCUGGCUAGUGGUUAAAAUGUGCAGUAGCCCAGUGCAGCUCUUUUAGACAGCUUGGCUUGUCUUUUGUGUGUGUGUGGUAUCCCCCUGGACACGUCCCAGGUGCACUUCAAGGGCAGUUUUAUGUUAUAGUCAAAGAGAUGAGAAGCCAGAUGUGAAAUAAGCUUCAUGCUUCCUAGGAAAACUGACUGCAGGGAGUUUCCAAAUUAGAUGCUAGAAAGCAGUUGUCAAGGACCACACAGAUUUUUCAAAAAAUUGGCUUUUUCUGUUAAAAAAAUUAAAAAUCCCCAAUUCAAUUUAUGAUGUCCUCAGAGCAAAACUGAAGUAAUAGAGCUCAACCAGCUCUAUACUGAGUUGACUGGUUUGUUACCAGUCAAUAAUUUUCAAAUAACUAAACAAAACUUUAUGCAAACACACAGACAUACAAAUUCUCCCUUGCAGAUAAAAAGCUGAAAUCUCUCCUCCUGCAGAUUUUCAUCAAAAAUCAUAUGCAGCACAGGAGGGCUGUUUGCCCCAGGCUUUAGAGUAAAAAAAAAAAGAAAGAAAUGCCUGAAUAUAUUGCUACAUUAUAAUAUGUUAAUGCACUGUAUUUGAUUAUCUGGUGCUAUUCUUAGGAUAAAUACAGAAUUAAGUGGAUGAGAUUCUAUGGUCUGUAUUAAAUAGAAGGUCAGAUUUGAUAAUCUACUGGUUGCUUCAGACCCUAAUCUGCAGAUGAAUCUUUGUAGAGCUGUGCUUUGCUCCUGACUUCAUUCCUCCAUCAAUAGGCUAAGCACUUCUUCCCCAUACAUUAACAUUAAUGAGAUUUUCAGACAUUUAGAGUAAGGAGAAAAAUGUAGCCUUAGUAUUUGCAAUUACCAAUGAGUUUGUACUACAUUAAAUUCAUUUAGAAGAUUACACUUGUGCAUUUUCAAGUGGCACUUUCCUCUUGUUCUUUUUAACAUGGAAAAAAAAUGAAGAAAUGACAUAAAAGCUACAUUUACUAAGUAUACAGCAACACUCCAGGGUGAGCUGUGCAUGUGCUCUGGCCUGCCUGGGGGCACACAGAAUGCAUAUCAAAUAACAAUGCAACAGUAGAAGGGGAUUGUCUAGUUCCCAGCAAUGACAGCACCAUUUGGUACGGCUGAUGGAUGAAGGGCCAUGUAGGAAAUAGAAAGCUCAACUUCCUUUUUAUUCUAUCCUGCUGACUUAAGUUUACUAAAACAAAAAAGAGAAAAAAUGCCAAUCUAGUGACUAUCUUAGAACAAUGCCAAGUGUAUCAAAGUCCAUUUCUUCUGCAGCUGACUAACACACCUGAUGCACCCUGGAAGAGCUGAUGUACUUGCUUCCCCCAGGGACACAGAGUGCUGCUGGCUGUCCUCAAGGUUUGAUGGGAACAGCCCUCUUGCUGAAGGAGUGGAUGAUAGGAAAGGUCAGAUAAAGCACCUCAGAGCCUUUAAUGGAAUCCUGAAAGAACCACCAAACUCUCCUUGGCACAGAGGAGAUGCUCUGUGUCCCCUAGAGUCUGCAGCACCACGGAAGUUACAGGCAAGGCUUUUAAGCCACAUAACAAUUUCACUCCUGAAGCUGGUGAGGGGAACUGGGAAAACAGUAAUUUUAAAUGAGACUGGAAAUACAUUUGUUUAAACUGGAGGUCCAUUUGGCCAGGGAAAAAGUGCAAAUGUGCUCACAGCUAAUGAGGACAAAAUGCCCCACAAAUUUAAGCAGCCAGAGAGAAGAUCCAAGGAACAGAUAUCUUUAAACCCAUGGACUGUGAAGAAAAAGACAUACAAUGAGAGUCAUGGACUGUCUUCCCCCAAAGCUGUAACAGAUGUGGCUACAGCAGAGUUGUGAGUGUGCAGCUGCUGCCUGGACACUGAUGGCUGUGCCUGUGCUCAUUACCAGAGGUCCCUGCUGACCCCUCUGUUCUAGAAGCCACAAAGCUGUAAAGCGGGACAGAGAAGAAGGGCAUGUCAAGAUCAAAGCUGUCCUUCCUUUUCUGAUGCAGCAACCAAGUCGAACAGUGAAGCAACAUGAGCAGCAGGAGACUUCUGAGCGCAGUGGCAUUGAAAGAAGAUAGAGAAAAAAGUUGUCUGGGGACACUCUGAUUCCAGAAACUUCUCAUUGCCAUCAGUCCCAAAGUAACAGCAAGGGAGGAAAGUCCAGCACACUGUGCUCAUGUCGUCUGUUCAGUGGAAGGUAAGAGGCUGGAAGUAGGAGUGCUGAUGCCUGCCAUGUAUAACCCUGCUGUAAGCUCUGCCCUGUGAGCUUUGCAGAAUUCUGUCUGACUGGAUGGUGCCAAGGUCCAGAAGAGAUGGAGGAGAGCUAAUCUCACCCUCCCAGCAGGCUUCUCCUGGAGGCAAAGAGAACGGACAUAAGUCUGCUUUCCCUGUUGGCCACUGACACCUCUUCCCAAAUGGCAACAUUGCACCCACUGUGCCAGCUCCACACAGACAACAACCACCAUUCUCUGGAUCCAACCAUCAGGCCCUUGCUGGAAACUUCCAGUGCUCCUGGGUUCCUCUGCAUGCUCAGCACAUAAAGUAAAAGAACAGAAAAUACACCUAGGUAAUCUUCUUUAAAUCCUGACAAGCCUAGGGUGAUUUGGUUGCAUUUUUAAGCAUCUGACUUGCUACAUUAAUUCUUCUUACAUCAGAGCCUGAGGACAAUGUUUGAAGUCCCUUUCGUCAGCCAUUCAAGACAACUGGAAGGAUUCAUGUCCUCUUGUCUGCAGCUCUGGAGAGAGAAGGACCACCUGGGCAGAGACAAACUGCUGGUUCACCCAGGCUAUUUCCAGAAGAAGAGAACACUUGCCAAGAUUAACUGAGAAAACCUGAACUGCUCAGCAGCCAGCUAAGCUAUGAAGAGCCUGCACAUCAGUCUAACAAUAUUUUUUGUUCCAUCUUCACCCACUGCAGACAGGAUUGGGCCCCUCCCAUUCUCCAGUCCCCACUUUGUUGUUGUGGAUCAACUGAGAUCAAUAAAUCUCAGGGGCACAACUCAGGGGCACCUCAAGGUACUGCCUGUCAGAAGUACUAUGAGAUCUCUCAGCUCCCUGUGGUGAGGUGGUGGAGUCCACUAAAACAUGGGCAUAUUUUAGCUAUGACCAGCCUCUUUAGGGACUGAAGGCAAUAGAUAUAUAUUCAAUGGGAGUAAAUGCUUAUUCCCUAACAAAGCUCAGAUAAACUGCAGAGGGAUCUGCAGGUGCUGGCAGGAUGGAUAACUUCUCCUGAAGCUGCAUCUGGAGCCACUAGAGCAGAUCAAGGUCUGGGAUAAAAAUAACUCUCAGCACUUAUCUGGUAUUUUUUCAAUCUGCAAACUUGAAAGCAUCAUCCUCAUUUUCCAGAUGUGAGAAGCCAACCACAAAGAACCAGUUCAGUGUUGCUGCAUUCUUCUAUCGGCUUCACAAGCUGAACCUCAUCCUCUUCCAACACCUCUGUCCAAGAGUAACUGACAGGUUUAAGACAACUAAUGCUAUCAGCACUUUCAAUUUUCUGUCAUCUUGCCUUUUUCUUUAGAGGGGAAAUGGGGCUUAUUUUUCAGCCCUGGUUCCUGGCAUUGCUCUGGGAGAACUUCAGAACAAGAUAUAUCUCAAAAUAUUUGUCCUCCAUGGUCCUUUAUGUUACAGAAAGGUUAAGUAAAGGGACUAAACCAGAGACUCAAGAUUCAGACUGAGAAACUGUGGCAGUAAAGAAUGCUGGAAUCAGCAGAUUACAGGUAUUUCAAGCAUUCAGUUUAGGCUUACACCUUUCCAUCCUUGUCAUUAAUUCUCUGAACAACACUGGGGAGAUUCACCUUUGGGUGUAACCUCCAUAGCAAGUUGGUGUCUACAAGAAAUCAGUAGCAGACAUUUGGCACUGCCCAAUGCAAAAUGUUUAGCAUGUUCUGCAGUAAUACAUAUAGCUUUCUUUUUAUCGAAACAACUGUCUUAAAUGCCACUGAGAUGUCACAGAAAAUCAAGUCAGAGCAUUCCAAGAUGUACCAGGAUUUAAAAAACCCACUUGAAGUACAAAAUAGAAGGGUUGCAUGUGUUUGUCUGUUUUUCUAAUUUAAUAAUAUGAGUUUGCCACAGCCCUGAAAAUCAACUUGUAUGUUACUGAAAAGAAAAACCAAACCAUAAAGUUCACUGAUCUGUAAAG